UUUACCAAUUAAAAUUUGCUAACCAAAAUCAAGAAGAAAAUUCCUGCAAACAAUAACCCCUAGAGACCAAUAUCAAGCAAACAAUAAACCUAGAGACCAAUAUCAAGCUACCAUCAUCUCAUUUCAAAGCGCAGAGACCUUCGGUACCGAAACAGGGAAGUUAUCGAUCUCAUCCAUCCACGGAUUCUUCUCGUUCGCUGGAAUCACCCGCCUCAGAGCCCUCCACACUGCACUGUUGCAUUUGAAGCCCG
This 251-nucleotide unclassified non-coding RNA is filed under the name Hevea brasiliensis (rubber tree). The record is from RNAcentral. Lineage: Eukaryota; Viridiplantae; Streptophyta; Magnoliopsida; Malpighiales; Euphorbiaceae.